This 301-nucleotide ribosomal RNA is filed under the name uncultured bacterium. Its description in RNAcentral is "partial 16S ribosomal RNA". It matches the Rfam family "Bacterial small subunit ribosomal RNA", at positions 509 to 807 of the family's 1533-position model. The record is from RNAcentral.
CAGUAGCCGCGGUAAAACGUAGGGUGCAAGCGUUAAUCGGAAUUACUGGGCGUAAAGCGUGCGCAGGCGGUUUUGUAAGACAGAGGUGAAAUCCCCGGGCUCAACCUGGGAACUGCCUUUGUGACUGCAAGGCUAGAGUACGGCAGAGGGGGAUGGAAUUCCGCGUGUAGCAGUGAAAUGCGUAGAUAUGCGGAGGAACACCGAUGGCGAAGGCAAUCCCCUGGGCCUGUACUGACGCUCAUGCACGAAAGCGUGGGGAGCAAACAGGAUUAGAUACCCCAGUAGUCCCUGUCUCUUAUAC